RNAcentral lists this ribosomal RNA (449 nucleotides) under uncultured bacterium. RNAcentral describes it as "partial 16S ribosomal RNA". It matches the Rfam family "Bacterial small subunit ribosomal RNA", at positions 354 to 796 of the family's 1533-position model. The record is from RNAcentral.
GUCGAGAAUCUUUCACAAUGGGGGCAACCCUGAUGGAGCGACGCCGCGUGGAGGAUAAGGUCUUCGGAUUGUAAACUCCUGUCAUGCGUGAACAAGGUUGCUUGGUUAAUACCUGGGCAAAUUGAUGGUAACGCAAGAGGAAGAGACGGCUAACUCUGUGCCAGCAGCCGCGGUAAUACAGAGGUCUCAAGCGUUGUUCGGAAUCACUGGGCGUAAAGGGUGCGUAGGUGGCGUGGUAAGUCAGAUGUGAAAGCCCGGGGCUCAACCUCGGAACUGCAUCCGAUACUGCCAUGCUAGAGUACGGGAGAGGUGACUAGAAUUCUCGGUGUAGCAGUGAAAUGCGUAGAUAUCGAGAGGAAUACCAAAGGCGUAGGCAGGUCACUGGACAGUUACUGACACUGAGGCACGAAGGCCAGGGGAGCGAACGGGAUUAGAUACCCGUGUAGUCC